Molecule: long non-coding RNA, 287 nt
Organism: Suricata suricatta (meerkat)
Lineage: Eukaryota; Metazoa; Chordata; Mammalia; Carnivora; Herpestidae
Exons: 3
Source: RefSeq, a predicted model, not a curated record
UCCAGACACGGUUUAGAGUGGAUAAAGGUUUCUCCAUGGAGACAUCUUACUUUCAGUGACUGAGGCACGGAAGCCCUCCUCUGGUACCCGGCCCCUCCGAUUCCACAAAAGAGCAAUAACUUCAAGCUCUUGUGGAUUCAGAGUUUUGCUGCAAGGAAAUUACACUGCUGGACUGUCUAUCGAUCUGGUCACCUAAGGUGAAGAAAAAAAAACAAGCUCAACAAAAAUUGUAUUCAAAGCUCCUGUGAUCAUUUUUCCCCUUUUGUGGCAGCAGGAGGACAGUGGGG